UUCAAAAAUUCUAGCUACCAUCCUCACUGUUUUAUAUGCCUGAUAAAACUAAAAAUAUUAAUUAUGAUUAUAAAAGCUAUCUACUCUGUAUUGAGUUUGUUCAAAAUGAGUUAGACCCUUGUUGAGAGAUUUAUCAUGCUCCUAAGAUCAAGACAUUAUUCAGAAAGAUUCACUCUUCCGAAGUAUUAUUGCAUUAGAGGCAUGGCUAUGCAAAAAUAAAGAUAUUUCGAGGAAAUAAAAAGGAGCAAGUGCUCGAUAACCUCGCAGAAAAAAUGGACAAGUGUCCGGCAGUAGAAUUAGGGGUACCUCGGUAUCCACUUAAAAAAAAGAAGAAAAGAGAGACAAAAAUAAAAUGAUAGCCCAUGGUCCCUCUAAUAAGCAAUACGCCAGCAAGAGUUGACAAGUUUUUAAUUUCCAAAAGUCUUUGAUCUAAGAGUAUGACAUUCCCCUCCUUGGAUCCCGUUUUGAUCAGGCAAUAAAUGCAAGGUAAGUAUGCUUGAUAAUUUUUUGCAAAUUAAAAUAGCCUCAGCGAGAUAUAUAAAAGAUAAUAAGUG
RNAcentral lists this long non-coding RNA (554 nucleotides) under Sorghum bicolor (sorghum). Its description in RNAcentral is "long non-coding RNA (SBIC_LNC008670)". The record is from RNAcentral. Lineage: Eukaryota; Viridiplantae; Streptophyta; Magnoliopsida; Poales; Poaceae.